GUGUGUGUUAGUGGAAGCGUCUGGAAAGGCGCGCGAUACAGGGUGACAGCCCCGUACACAAAAAUGCACAUGCUGUGAGCUCGAUGAGUAGGGCGGGACACGUGGUAUCCUGUCUGAAUAUGGGGGGACCAUCCUCCAAGGCUAAAUACUCCUGACUGACCGAUAGUGAACCAGUACCGUGAGGGAAAGGCGAAAAGAACCCCGGCGAGGGGAGUGAAAAAGAACCUGAAACCGUGUACGUACAAGCAGUGGGAGCACGCUUAGGCGUGUGACUGCGUACCUUUUGUAUAAUGGGUCAGCGACUUAUAUUCUGUAGCAAGGUUAACCGAAUAGGGGAGCCGAAGGGAAACCGAGUCUUAACUGGGCGUUAAGUUGCAGGGUAUAGACCCGAAACCCGGUGAUCUAGCCAUGGGCAGGUUGAAGGUUGGGUAACACUAACUGGAGGACCGAACCGACUAAUGUUGAAAAAUUAGCGGAUGACUUGUGGCUGGGGGUGAAAGGCCAAUCAAACCGGGAGAUAGCUGGUUCUCCCCGAAAGCUAUUUAGGUAGCGCCUCGUGAAUUCAUCUCCGGGGGUAGAGCACUGUUUCGGCAAGGGGGUCAUCCCGACUUACCAACCCGAUGCAAACUGCGAAUACCGGAGAAUGUUAUCACGGGAGACACACGGCGGGUGCUAACGUCCGUCGUGAAGAGGGAAACAACCCAGACCGCCAGCUAAGGUCCCAAAGUCAUGGUUAAGUGGGAAACGAUGUGGGAAGGCCCAGACAGCCAGGAUGUUGGCUUAGAAGCAGCCAUCAUUUAAAGAAAGCGUAAUAGCUCACUGGUCGAGUCGGCCUGCGCGGAAGAUGUAACGGGGCUAAACCAUGCACCGAAGCUGCGGCAGCGACACUAUGUGUUGUUGGGUAGGGGAGCGUUCUGUAAGCCUGCGAAGGUGUGCUGUGAGGCAUGCUGGAGGUAUCAGAAGUGCGAAUGCUGACAUAAGUAACGAUAAAGCGGGUGAAAAGCCCGCUCGCCGGAAGACCAAGGGUUCCUGUCCAACGUUAAUCGGGGCAGGGUGAGUCGACCCCUAAGGCGAGGCCGAAAGGCGUAGUCGAUGGGAAACAGGUUAAUAUUCCUGUACUUGGUGUUACUGCGAAGGGGGGACGGAGAAGGCUAUGUUGGCCGGGCGACGGUUGUCCCGGUUUAAGCGUGUAGGCUGGUUUUCCAGGCAAAUCCGGAAAAUCAAGGCUGAGGCGUGAUGACGAGGCACUACGGUGCUGAAGCAACAAAUGCCCUGCUUCCAGGAAAAGCCUCUAAGCAUCAGGUAACAUCAAAUCGUACCCCAAACCGACACAGGUGGUCAGGUAGAGAAUACCAAGGCGCUUGAGAGAACUCGGGUGAAGGAACUAGGCAAAAUGGUGCCGUAACUUCGGGAGAAGGCACGCUGAUAUGUAGGUGAAGUCCCUCGCGGAUGGAGCUGAAAUCAGUCGAAGAUACCAGCUGGCUGCAACUGUUUAUUAAAAACACAGCACUGUGCAAACACGAAAGUGGACGUAUACGGUGUGACGCCUGCCCGGUGCCGGAAGGUUAAUUGAUGGGGUCAGCGCAAGCGAAGCUCUUGAUCGAAGCCCCGGUAAACGGCGGCCGUAACUAUAACGGUCCUAAGGUAGCGAAAUUCCUUGUCGGGUAAGUUCCGACCUGCACGAAUGGCGUAAUGAUGGCCAGGCUGUCUCCACCCGAGACUCAGUGAAAUUGAACUCGCUGUGAAGAUGCAGUGUACCCGCGGCAAGACGGAAAGACCCCGUGAACCUUUACUAUAGCUUGACACUGAACAUUGAGCCUUGAUGUGUAGGAUAGGUGGGAGGCUUUGAAGUGUGGACGCCAGUCUGCAUGGAGCCGACCUUGAAAUACCACCCUUUAAUGUUUGAUGUUCUAACGUGGACCCGUAAUCCGGGUUGCGGACAGUGUCUGGUGGGUAGUUUGACUGGGGCGGUCUCCUCCUAAAGAGUAACGGAGGAGCACGAAGGUUGGCUAAUCCUGGUCGGACAUCAGGAGGUUAGUGCAAUGGCAUAAGCCAGCUUGACUGCGAGCGUGACGGCGCGAGCAGGUGCGAAAGCAGGUCAUAGUGAUCCGGUGGUUCUGAAUGGAAGGGCCAUCGCUCAACGGAUAAAAGGUACUCCGGGGAUAACAGGCUGAUACCGCCCAAGAGUUCAUAUCGACGGCGGUGUUUGGCACCUCGAUGUCGGCUCAUCACAUCCUGGGGCUGAAGUAGGUCCCAAGGGUAUGGCUGUUCGCCAUUUAAAGUGGUACGCGAGCUGGGUUUAGAACGUCGUGAGACAGUUCGGUCCCUAUCUGCCGUGGGCGCUGGAGAACUGAGGGGGGCUGCUCCUAGUACGAGAGGACCGGAGUGGACGCAUCACUGGUGUUCGGGUUGUCAUGCCAAUGGCACUGCCCGGUAGCUAAAUGCGGAAGAGAUAAGUGCUGAAAGCAUCUAAGCACGAAACUUGCCCCGAGAUGAGUUCUCCCUGACCCUUUAAGGGUCCUGAAGGAACGUUGAAGACGACGACGUUGAUAGGCCGG
Molecule: ribosomal RNA, 2558 nt
Filed under: Escherichia coli
Lineage: Bacteria; Pseudomonadati; Pseudomonadota; Gammaproteobacteria; Enterobacterales; Enterobacteriaceae
Description: partial 23S ribosomal RNA
Rfam family: Bacterial large subunit ribosomal RNA
Source: RNAcentral